Molecule: non-coding RNA, 411 nt
Organism: Heterocephalus glaber (naked mole-rat)
Lineage: Eukaryota; Metazoa; Chordata; Mammalia; Rodentia; Bathyergidae
Source: RefSeq, a predicted model, not a curated record
UGUUACAAAGAGUUGUUCAGUAUUCUCUGAUCAGGUCCAGGAAGACCCUAAAGUCAGAGGUACAGCAGAACCAGAGGGCACACAGCCGAGCCCUGCAGCCAGGGACAGGUACAGAACAGGCCAUGGGUGAGCACUUUGUUCUACCACACAUUCCCACCAUGAUAUGCUGCUUUAUCAUAGGCCCAAACGAAGCAAGACAAUCAAGCAUGGACUGAAAAUUCUAAGACUCUUCCAGCUUCUUGGCAAGAGCAACUACUGGGUCUUCCUGCUCUCCAGCCUGCAGCCAGCCAUCAUGGCCUCUCCUGCCCUGAUCCUGUGAGCCUAUCUAGCCAACCCCCACAUGUACUCCACUGCUCUGACAACUCUAGCCAGGACAGUACCUCUAUCACCCCUACUCACUUUUAGGCCUUC